AUAAAUAAACCAACCUCUUCUCUCUCCCAACCACCACCUCCCGCCCACAUUUCUCAAUCUCAACCCACACUCUCACAUAAUUUGGUUCUUCGAUUCUUGGACACACAGUCUUAACCCAAACGAGAUAGUCCGGCCCCGGCUCCAGAUUUCCGCCGAGAACAAGAACCACCUCUGCCGCCUACUCCUCAACUCCGGCCUGUCGUCCGCGGUCCCGGUCGUCGAGUCGCUCCAGAUUUCCUUCUUGAUUGUCACUUUUCCCUAUCAAUCCCCAAAACCCUAAUCGAUUUUCGCUUUUCAUGUCAAUUUAGAGGAAGGUCGAAGUGCAAGUUUAGCCAUGGCCAAUGACAAAAGCUUGUUCAAGAAAGAACAUGGUCUGGAGAGGAGGCAAGCAGCAGCUUGUCGAAUCAGGGAGAAGUAUCUGGAGAGAGUACUGGUAAAGUGGUGACUGUGGAGAAGGCUCCGAUCAGUUGUCGGAGGUCUGGGCUGAAAUCUGGGUGAAGUUCUUGAGCGUCGGGUCUACCGGCGAGUGAAUCUGACAGAGUAUGGGAGAAGCCAAAGGUUCCAAGUACCAACUGCCAAGUCUUUAUCUUGGUCAAAUUGUGCUGAACUGCUAUCUGGGUUGGUUUAUUUGGUUGGGAUUGUAGUAGCUUGUGUUUAGCGACGACAUUCCUCUAAGAUCUGGUGGUGGGUUUCGGCAAUCAAGGAACAAUGGCCGAAGCCAAAAGCAGAUACCCUUGAAGGUGGAAGAAGAGCUAAACGGGAAAAAUAAAAGAAAAAAGAGAAGAAAAAAAAAGAAAGAAGAAG
Rosa chinensis is the source of this 804-nucleotide long non-coding RNA. RefSeq lists it as uncharacterized. The transcript has 2 exons. Lineage: Eukaryota; Viridiplantae; Streptophyta; Magnoliopsida; Rosales; Rosaceae. The record is from RefSeq and is a predicted model, not a curated record.